Molecule: non-coding RNA, 23 nt
Filed under: Gallus gallus (chicken)
Lineage: Eukaryota; Metazoa; Chordata; Aves; Galliformes; Phasianidae
Source: miRBase by way of RNAcentral
UAUGGGAGGAGCGGUGAGCAGCA